CCUACGGGGGGCAACAGUCGAGAAUCAUUCACAAUGGGGGAAACCCUGAUGGUGCGACGCCGCGUGGGGGAAUGAAGGUCUUCGGAUUGUAAACCCCUGUCAUGUGGGAGCAAAUUAAAAAGAUAGUACCACAAGAGGAAGAGACGGCUAACUCUGUGCCAGCAGCCGCGGUUAUACAGAGGUCUCAAGCGUUGUUCGGAAUCACUGGGCGUAAGGCGUGCGUAGGCUGUUUCGUAAGUCGUGUGUGAAAGGCGCGGGCUCAACCCGCGGACGGCACAUGAUACUGCGAGACUAGAGUAAUGGAGGGGGAACCGGAAUGCUCGGUGUAGCAGUGAAAUGCGUAGAUAUCGAGAGGAACACUCGUGGCGAAGGCGGGUGCCUGGACAUUAACUGACGCUGAGGCACGAAGGCCAGGGGAGCGAAAGGGAUUAGAUACCCUUGUAGUC
Molecule: ribosomal RNA, 446 nt
Filed under: uncultured bacterium
Lineage: Bacteria
Description: partial 16S ribosomal RNA
Rfam family: Bacterial small subunit ribosomal RNA
Source: RNAcentral